This is a long non-coding RNA of Centrocercus urophasianus (Greater sage-grouse), 1317 nucleotides long. RefSeq lists it as uncharacterized. The record is from RefSeq and is a predicted model, not a curated record. Lineage: Eukaryota; Metazoa; Chordata; Aves; Galliformes; Phasianidae. The transcript is spliced from 4 exons.
UCUAGAAUAUUUUAAAAAAUGUUGAAAAAUUGUCAUUUUAGCUGUUUCCUAAUGUGCAUAUAAUAAUUACCUGAUAAGGUGUUUUCUUCAGUGCUAUUAGUUUAUUUCAACAAGGUAUUUGAAGAGCCUCAGACAUUUUUCCCUUUGUUGACUCAUUAGCACCAAAGUGCCAUUUCUAAAAGGUUGUUUAUAAAAUCCCAAGAAAAACAGAAUUUGUUAUCUGCAGACAUUGAAAAGAGAUAAUUAAGAGGGGUUGUGAAUAUGUCAAAGUACUUUUUUUUCUUUUUUUUUUUUUUGGUGGCUAUGAGAGAUCAUAAAAAAAAUUGGAAUAUGGCUAGAAAGAAGCAAAUGAUUUUUGGAUAAGAGAUGAGAAGAUGCACACUAGCAAAAUCAAAGCAUGGUCAAAGCUGCUGAAACAAACAAACAAAAAACACUUCAAAGAAAAUGUCAGAAGCCUAUUCAGACACUCCAUUGGCUUACUGGGGAAAAUGCAAAUAUUUCAAAAUAGCACUGACCCAUUUAGUGUCUGUGAUAUAUCACUGUUCAUCUUUUUGAACUUACAGUAAAUGCUGUUAUGCUGUUCAGGAACGGCUCAGGACCACUGAGGAAAAAAGCUUUUCAACUCUUACAAAGGCUUCUAACAUGUAACAUGCCCAAUUCAUCUCCAGUGGAAGAUUUGAGAAUGACUUCAAAGGAAACAAGGACCUCAAAUUGAGAUGCUUCUCUGAACACAGUCAUGAAUGACCUGUAUGUUAAAGCCUCUCUGUAUGCCUCAACUUUUUUGGAAGAACUUGCCUUUUGUUGCUGUUGCAAUCUAACCAGGUGAAUCCAAGUCAUUCAGUCAUGAAAUAAAACUAACUUUGUUAUGCUCUCUGCCCUCAGAUGACAUCCAACAAGGACAAAUCAAAUGUUGUUGCAACACUAAUGCCUGUGCAUUUUUCUGCUGAUCUUAAGACCACAAAAUAAUUGCUACUCAGUGACUAUUCAAGGCUUACCUUCACAAUGACUGUAUAAAGGUCACAUUGACCAUACAUUUAAUUUGUUCUGGCAGGAACCUUGCACAGGCAUUCAAAGACUGACUCACACAGAAAGUGCAAAAAGAAAUCUGUGAGGAACUGGGAGAUUCCACCAAUGGAGGUAACAGAAGACCGACCUUCUGAAGGAAGAUAAGAGCAGUGAUAGAAGAAGAGGAGACACUGCUCCAGGACAUCACAAGCCAGCACCAACAGGCUAUAGACAAUUGAAUAGAAUGGCCUCCAACUGGUGGUUGUUUUGGUAUGCAGUAAAAACACAUAUAAUGAUAUGUGUUGAAACAUU